Long non-coding RNA from Carassius gibelio (silver crucian carp), 3568 nucleotides. RefSeq lists it as uncharacterized. Lineage: Eukaryota; Metazoa; Chordata; Actinopteri; Cypriniformes; Cyprinidae. The transcript is spliced from 5 exons. The record is from RefSeq and is a predicted model, not a curated record.
AACUAUCUGUGAAGAAAACACAUACGCGAGUUACACACGUGUAGAAUACAAACAUGGCCAAAAGAAGGCGAGGAAAUCAAGAGAUUACAAGUUUAACUAAGAAACAGAAUAAAAAUCUAAAAGAAUUUGGAGAACAGCACCCUAACAGCACUAUUAAUAUGCAUUAAAACUAUUCCGAAGGUGGGCUCAAUCUGUCAGGUACUUGUGCAGCUGCCACAUGUAUUCCAGAUGUUCCAAUCUGACAGCUUAAUGGACCAGGAUGCCAGGUUCCUAUUCUUUGUGGAUAAGAUCCUGCCCCAUUACAGACACUCUUGUCAUGUUGCACACUUUCAUCUAUUUGCCAUCAUGUUUGGAUUUUGUUCGCCUGUGAAACUACCUGAAGGAGGAGGACAUCAGUUUCUCUAGUGUGUGCAAAGAUCAGCGGUGUCUCGAUCUUCCAGAAAGGAGAAAAAACAGGUUAUGCUCUUCUCUGAGAGAUUCCACUUCUACAAGAGGUUUGUUUGUGUGGGAAGGAAUAGAUGACCUGUGAAAACUGACAGACCUGACCAGUGAAGGACAGAUCAACCUUCCUCUCCAUCUCUUCGUGAAACUGAAAGGGUUAAUGGGUGUCUGAGUGUUUCUAUGACAACACAGAUGAGACUGAUGAGCGCAACCGUUUGGAAGAGGCUCUCAGUUCAGAAUCCAAAAAUAACCACACACAAAACAAGCCUAAAGAGAUGGCAAGGGAGGAAGAGGAGGUCAAUUAUUGAUAGAGAAAAUUCUGCACAGACAUCCAAUCCACCCCAGUCAGUUAACCUCUGCACACCGACUGCAAUUCAGAUGCAAGUUUCACACUAAAAUAGACCAUGAUGCUUAUCUGCAUACAGCUCGGCAUUUACUUAAUGCACAAAGACAGAUGCAUUAAAUGUUCGUAUGACGUUGCUAAAAAUAACAUUAUUUUGUGUAAUUGGGUGUAAUGCAAUGUGUUUAUGCAGUUUAAGGUUCAAAAAACAUUAUUUUUCACAUACUGUAGAUUAAUUUUUCUUCUCUGUGCCCCGCCUUUCUGAAAUGCGCCGAUUUUUACAAAGCUCAUAGUUCUGAAAAGCGAGGUCUAUGCUGAUUGGCCAGAUAUCCAAUGAGUUGUGAUUGGGUGAAUACCUCAAGCGUGUGACGCAAAUGUUACACCCCUUACCAUAUUGUGAUGCCAUAUCCCGACGCGAUGACACAAAAAUAAUAAAACCCAUUACAAACAAGGCAUUUGUUGCAGCCAUUUGGGACAUAAUUACUGAUUAUAAUGAAUUAUACUGUCUUUUUAUGCUUUGUGUUUCACGCCGCGUAAACUUAAAACCAUGUCUGCAUUUGCGAUCAGAGAAAUGACAAACAACAAGCACUAAUCUGCACUGCUCAAAACUAUCAUUUGAAUCAUCGGAGGCAAAUUCUUUAAAUGUGAAAACAUACUUAUAGGCUGUGAGUCAGAAGCGCCAGACUGUCCUUGCAAAGUUGGAAUUGCCCCACUUAAUGGAAACAACAUUUGUGCACAGCCUUCCCUUGUUCAGGAAACAGUCUUCUGUAAAAUGUGCUGAACACAUCUGAAUAUUUGGGUUGAACUGUUCUGGAAAUCCAUCUUAAGCACUGGUUUCUAGCUCUUUUGGAAUGCCAAACAAAGUAGUUUCACUUUUACAACAACACACAGCAUUUCCACAACAUGGUGGCUGCAAAAAUACUACAGCGAGAAACAAAGUUAUGUCGCCUUACUUUGCAUUAACAUUUGUGCGAUGUUAUGCAAAUCACCCCGCAUAGUGACAUAGACAUGUCGGGGCUUUUAAAUAAGGUGUUUUGGGGAAUUGGACGGGUCAACUUUUAAAAAGAAUAUCUCUUUGGGUUUGAGACUUAUCUUUUCUCGAACAGCUUGUGACUCUCCAAAGUGAAAGGAAAACUUGAAAUUGCUUAUUGAUCCCUUUAAAAGUUUUCUCCUUGGACAAAUACGGCCUGAUUUGCUAAAUUUGCCCUUAUAAAAUGUGUUACAAAUAAAUGCAUAUUCUUUAUUUUUGUGGAGAAAGUGGGUGAAUCAUAGUUUCGUUAUAUGUUUGCAAAAUACAAUAAAUAAUCAGGCCUUCUUUAGAUGAGAUUAUAAUACUUAAAUAUAAAAAUAGCAACUAAAAGUGAUCAUAGUGCCAGAUGAAAUAUAGCUAAUUUAAAUUUGGAUCAUUUUGUAAAGAUGUUUUACAUAACUAUCUAUUUUAGGGUUAAGAGUGAUUCAUAUGUACUGGGUUAUUUCUUUAAUGUGUGUGUUUGAGCAUUUGUUCAAAAUAAUGGCAAGAAUUUAGUCUAAAGUUCUUGGUUCCAUUGAUUUUGUGUGUUGGGACCAUUGUCUUGUUUUGUAGUUGGCUUGGGGAACAUGUCCUCGCAUUUGCUCAGUCAGUUAUUAACAAUCAAAUAGAGAAUAAAUGAGCACUCAAAACCUAUUAUUUCAAUUUACACCCAGAGAGGAAGAGGGGUCAGAAUUAUUUAGUCUUUUUUAAUUGUCAGUGACAUUUCUGUGAUGUUAUGGCUUUGGGAAUUGGGGUAGAUGACCUCAGACACAUCAUUAAACCUCAGUCCCCAGUUCCAGUUAACACUGAAAAUGUUUUUGUUUCUAUUUUAGGCAGGUAUUGAAUGUGAAAUGAAAAGAAAAGACUAAUGAGGUCCAUUGAGCGGAUACAAAGAGGAUGGGAAAUGAUAGAAUAGAGAGAGAGACUGAUGGGAGAUUAUUUCUAGCAUUAUGGCACAAUGCUUGUGUUUUUAACCAGAACAAUGGGCGCAUGGCAACAGCGGGUAACCAUGGUGACUUUUAAGGUAGCCAGAUGGGAUUCUGAUAACAUUGCCAAUGCUGUCAGGUUCACAUCUGAUGAAGUCCUUGUAAGUAUUUCAGACACACUACAUUUUUCCUUUGACACUCUGAAAAGACAAAGCUGAUUCCCCAAAUGUGUUUCUCUCGCUUCUCCUUUUCAUCAUUUCUCCUGUAAGUGCUCUGAAUGGCUUCCGGUACUUACAGAAAUCUAAUGACAUCCCAGUUGACAGGAAAUGCACAAGCACUUCUCUCAGAAAUGAAGACCAUGAGAUCCCAGUUUACAACAAAUGCAAUUACCAGUGUAGAGCACUGUCUCAUAAAUUGGACACUGUUAUAAUUUUCUAAUCAUAUUUAAAAGGAAAAAUAUGAAUUUAGCUUGAUAAUAUCUCUGAAUUACAUACAUUGAUAUACAGAGGCUGUUUAGAGAGCGUUGGAAGCUGUGUAUUUAAUUGUUUUUGAAUCCAGAUGCUUUCUAAAGGUCGCUGUCAUUAGGCAGAAUGCCUGCUGUUUGGUUAUGAAUUUUUUAAAAGCCCAGCAAAGCUGGUAGAAUUUAGGAUCAAAACGAUCACCGCUAAUGUUUGUUGCAAUUUGAAUAUCGAAAUUGUAUAUAAUUGUAUUUGGUCUGUCCAAUUUUUAUGUCACAAGGACCCAGAAAUACCUAAUAUAUUUAUUGUAUUGUCUGUGGAAUGUUGUCUGCUACUGUAUGUAAAGUUGAUAUGGCAAUAAAUAUAAAGGAAUAAACUGGAGGAGUAAGUGUUG